This 484-nucleotide ribosomal RNA is filed under the name uncultured bacterium. RNAcentral's name for it is "partial 16S ribosomal RNA". It matches the Rfam family "Bacterial small subunit ribosomal RNA", at positions 30 to 507 of the family's 1533-position model. The record is from RNAcentral.
AUUGAACGCUGGCGGCAGGCCUAACACAUGCAAGUCGAGCGGAUGAAGGGAGCUUGCUCCUGGAUUCAGCGGCGGACGGGUGAGUAAUGCCUAGGAAUCUGCCUGGUAGUGGGGGAUAACGUCCGGAAGCGGGCGCUAAUACCGCAUACGUCCUGAGGGAGAAAGUGGGGGAUCUUCGGACCUCACGCUAUCAGAUGAGCCUAGGUCGGAUUAGCUAGUUGGUGGGGUAAAGGCCUGCCAAGGCGACGAUCCGUAACUGGUCUGAGAGGAUGAUCAGUCGCACUGGAACUGAGACACGGUCCAGACUCCUACGGGAGGCAGCAGUGGGGAAUAUUGGACAAUGGGCGAAAGCCUGAUCCAGCCAUGCCGCGUGUGUGAAGAAGGUCUUCGGAUUGUAAAGCACUUUAAGUUGGGAGGAAGGGCAGUAAGUUAAUACCUUGCUGUUUUGACGUUACCAACAGAAUAAGCACCGGCUAACUUCGUG